This 2648-nucleotide long non-coding RNA is filed under the name Lupinus angustifolius (narrow-leaved blue lupine). RNAcentral describes it as "long non-coding RNA (LANG_LNC000799)". Lineage: Eukaryota; Viridiplantae; Streptophyta; Magnoliopsida; Fabales; Fabaceae. The record is from RNAcentral.
GAAAAGGAUCACUCUUGUGUAUUUUUCAAAAAAUAUAACUUAUACAAAAAUUAGUUCAAAAUACCAAGGGUAUUCCUAAAUUAGAGUCAAUAAUCCCAAUAUAAACAAGAUACUUAACUAUAUAUCAGUUAAGUUCUUCUUGUCUAUAUUUCCAUCAAUGGAUAUUCAUAGAGCAACUGCAACAAACCUGAUCAUACACAUAGUAUAGACAAAAGAAAAGACAAAGAAAAGGGAGCAAGAACCAACUACGGCGACCGCAGCGUGAAAUUACGUAGAGAAAUAACAUUAAAUUGAGACAUCCUGUAACAAAACCAUAAACAAACAAUGUCAAACAUAUGCAAAUGAUGCAUGAAGUUAGUGUUUUAUACAAAAGGAUAUUCACAUCCACAAUUAAUAUAUCUUUCAUGCAAUGCAAUAUGCAAUUCACCAACCAAUCACCACCAAAAUUACAAUACACGAAGGCCAAGAUCCUAGUAGGAAAGCAACCGAGAGUACAGAUAUCCUCAACAACGACAAGUAACAAUAUCAAUUGUUGUCCAAUUACUUCUAUCUGAGGUGCUUACGUAUUAAGCCCAGUCCGUUUCAGGAUUCCUCACAACCGAUCAUCAAAUGUGCAAGGGGUGUCAGAGACUGCUUAGUUUACAUGUAAGACUAUCCUGGUCAUACGAGUAAUGAACUCGAACCCUCACUAGACUAUACCACCUAAGCAAUCACUCAAGGCUUCUUGACGAAUCAUCAUCAUUACCAAGCCUAUUCAAAUCCCAAUGAUAAUUCUAUCAUUGUAUCUUUCAAUUUUCUCCAACUUCAAUUACAAGAAUGCAAUGCAUGUACAAUAAUCAAAGAUAGUCCAUUAAAUCUUUUAAUCAAGGUUUUCCAAUUUUUUAUUUCACAAACAUCACAUAAGUUAGUCGUCUCAAGCCCAAUACAUUUCUAUCAUGCCAAGUCUAAUGGACGAGCUCAAGACGCUAACUUAGUAUCCAAGAUCAUUAAGUAAAGCCCAAUUCUCCCUACACUUUCAAGUGUGUGAAUAUCCAUAGGCUCUUAUCAAAUUCAACCUUUCCAAAAAUACAACCUAAGUUAGUAGUCUCAGCCCUAAUUUCAAACUUGUGUAUUUUCCAAAUCAAUAUAACAACUAACGUAGGUAUUUCUCAUGUUAAUACAAUAUUGAAGUUAUAUAUAUUUUUUGUUUCAAUACCACCAUACAACAAUCAAUAACAUAACCAUUGCAAUUGAAAUAUUUCUGAAUUAUAACCUUGUCACAAACAUUUAGCACAUAAAACAAUAUCAAUUUAUCACAAUACUCACAUACAUACAAACAUAAUUAUGUAACAACCUUUCAUGACGAAGUAAUAACAUAAGCGAGUACCUCUCAUUAUGUUACACACAAAAAUGAAUUCAUACAAAUAUUUUUUUCAGCACAAUCAAAUAAUUAAGACUUUAUACAUUGUCAUGAAAAAGAUUAAGGACUCUUACAUGGAAAUAUGUUUCCAUGACAGUUCUAAAUCUACAAGACUCUCCGACUUUUAAGGGAAUCGGAGAGGAAAAACUUUAAUGAAAUACUCUAAGACCACAAUGGUCUUCUCCCUCACCUGGAUUUAUGUAAGCUCUUUGUCUAGCAAACAAGAUUUAUGUAAGCUCUUUGUCUAGUAAACAAACUAGCUCUUGUGUACUCAUACAUAAGCCAACAACAAAACAGACACCUAAUUAAAGUCUAUUCUACAUCAACAACUAGCAACCAAAUUAAAAUAGAUCAACACUUCAUACUUAAUAAAAGUCACUUAUUUAGAAAUAAUUCAAGUUUGUUUGUAAUAGCUUAAUCUUGAUAUCAUAAGGUUAAGAAAAAAGUGUUAAUUAAGUUCACUUCAACAUAUGGCAAUGUUAAUUAAAAACUUGUGAAAGAAAACAAUGCAAAUAAAGACUCUUAACAAUUCAUCUCACCUAAGCAAAAGAAAGAAAUAAAAGAAAAGAGGACUGCACGUCCAUAGGUAAAAUAAUAAGGCAUAAACAAAAGUGAGAAAAACUUGACAUUGCCUCUUGGAAAAAUUUACAAAAUACCUUUGGUUUUUAAUGCUCUGUGCAUAUGGCCAUGUUAUAAAAAGAAGACAAUAAAAUAGGAGGUUCACAUAACUACUUGGAAACUGAAUUGGAAAUGUGCCUAAUUGCUCUAUUAUUCAAAAAUGUUAAAGAAUGUUGUACUAAGAUAACAUGUGUGUAUUGAUGUCAAUCUCACAAAUACAAUACCUCUUUUAUCUUAUAAGUCUAUCAAAUGUUAGUGUGGCAAAUUAACGAAUUCAAGAAAACGGCACAUACAGUGUCCGCAAGAAUCAAAAGGAAAAGAAAAUAUGGCUUUUGUUCUCUAUUAUCUAACAAGUGACAACUCAUUUUUUUUUAAAGAAAACAAUUGAAAAACAUGGGUUAAGUUUCCCAAUGGAAGAAUGUUCUAAAGGCACUAUGUAUUUUCAAGCAAUAAAAGACAUAAGACUAACAAAAGAAGAUUGAAUAAUAAUAAACCUUGGGAGGAAGAGAUAUGAGGUAUGACAAGUUCUGCACUUAUUGUUUCUCUCUCAGCAGCGGCGGCACAAAGGUUUGAAAGGGAAUACAAAUCUUUUUUUUAAGUGAUAGUACUCAUAGAUAUAGACUAUUUCUAG